AUUGAACGCUGGCGGCAUGCCUUACACAUGCAAGUCGAACGGCAGCGCGGGAGCAAUCCUGGCGGCGAGUGGCGAACGGGUGAGUAAUACAUCGGAACGUGCCCAAUCGUGGGGGAUAACGCAGCGAAAGCUGUGCUAAUACCGCAUACGAUCUACGGAUGAAAGCAGGGGAUCGCAAGACCUUGCGCGAAUGGAGCGGCCGAUGGCAGAUUAGGUAGUUGGUGAGGUAAAGGCUCACCAAGCCUUCGAUCUGUAGCUGGUCUGAGAGGACGACCAGCCACACUGGGACUGAGACACGGCCCAGACUCCUACGGGAGGCAGCAGUGGGGAAUUUUGGACAAUGGGCGAAAGCCUGAUCCAGCCAUGCCGCGUGCAGGAUGAAGGCCUUCGGGUUGUAAACUGCUUUUGUACGGAACGAAACGGCCUUUUCUAAUAAAGAGGGCUAAUGACGGUACCGUAAGAAUAAGCACCGGCUAACUACGUGCCAGCAGCCGCGGUAAUACGUAGGGUGCAAGCGUUAAU
RNAcentral lists this ribosomal RNA (522 nucleotides) under uncultured bacterium. Its description in RNAcentral is "bacterial SSU rRNA". It matches the Rfam family "Bacterial small subunit ribosomal RNA", at positions 28 to 545 of the family's 1533-position model. The record is from RNAcentral.